GAUGAAGAACGUAGCGAAAUGCGAUAAGUAAUGUGAAUUGCAGAUUUCAGUGAAUCAUCGAAUCUUUGAACGCACCUUGCGCCUUGUGGUAUUCCACAAGGCAUGGCCGUUUGAGUAUCAUUAAAUCAUCAACUCUAAAACCUUUGUGGUUUUUUUAGAGCUUGGUCUUGAGGGUUUUGCAGGCUUUUUUUUUUUCGAGUCUGCUCCCUUUAAAUGCAUUAGCGAGACUUCCCUAUGCUGAACCGUCUCUUUGACGUGAUAAUUAUCUGCGUCGAAUUUUGGUUCUCGUUGGGCUUGCUUCUAAUCGUCUGUUAAAGACAAAACGGAUUUGGGUGCAUAUAUGCGCCUUUUUCCAAAACCUUUUUUGAUCUCAAAUCGGGUAGGACUACCAGCUGAACUUAAGCAUAUCAAUAAGCGGAGGA
This 422-nucleotide unclassified non-coding RNA is filed under the name soil metagenome. RNAcentral describes it as "partial contains 5.8S ribosomal RNA, internal transcribed spacer 2, and large subunit ribosomal RNA". The stretch from base 1 to 120 matches the Rfam family "5.8S ribosomal RNA", at positions 35 to 154 of the family's 154-position model. The record is from RNAcentral.